This 481-nucleotide ribosomal RNA is filed under the name uncultured bacterium. Its description in RNAcentral is "partial 16S ribosomal RNA". It matches the Rfam family "Bacterial small subunit ribosomal RNA", at positions 29 to 506 of the family's 1533-position model. The record is from RNAcentral.
AUUGAACGCUGGCGGCAUGCUUUACACAUGCAAGUCGAACGGUAACAGGCCGCAAGGUGCUGACGAGUGGCGAACGGGUGAGUAAUGCAUCGGAACGUGCCCAGUCGUGGGGGAUAACUACUCGAAAGAGUAGCUAAUACCGCAUACGAUCUAUGGAUGAAAGCGGGGGACCGUAAGGCCUCGCGCGAUUGGAGCGGCCGAUGUCAGAUUAGGUAGUUGGUGGGGUAAAGGCUCACCAAGCCAACGAUCUGUAGCUGGUCUGAGAGGACGACCAGCCACAGGGGGAAUGGGAAACGGCCCAGACCCCUAGGGGGGGCAGCGGUGGGGAAUUUUGGAAAAUGGGCGCAAGCCUGAUCCAGAAAUGCCGGGGGAAGGAAGAGGGCCUUCGGGUUGUAAACUGUUUUUGUACGGAACGAAACGGUUCUGGUUAAUACCCGGGGCUAAUGACGGUACCGAAAAAAAAAGCACCGGCAAACUACGU